Long non-coding RNA from Dreissena polymorpha, 11794 nucleotides. RefSeq lists it as uncharacterized. The record is from RefSeq and is a predicted model, not a curated record. The transcript is spliced from 7 exons. Lineage: Eukaryota; Metazoa; Mollusca; Bivalvia; Myida; Dreissenidae.
AGUAAGAUUAGAUCCGGGAUUUCCAUCCUAGAUCUAUUUAUAGAAUAUGUUUACUUAAAAAAAAACAUUCUUACAGAGAAAUGGAUCUUAUGAAGCCCAAAAAACUACUUGCACCAUAACAAUCUUGCAUGUGUCGAAACACAUAUUUGUUGGCGAAGAAGAUGAUGAUGAAAACGAUGAUAGUAGUGAUGUUCCCUGAAAAUUUCAGGUGGGUUCUUACACGCGGACAACAUAAACAUAUUUGUUUAAUGUAUGUUUAUAUGAUUAUCAGACGAGCAACCGCGCAUUUUUGCAGUCCCAUCCCCUAAAGCCUACACUGACUAAGAACCUAACGGGCGUAUACGUAUGGGACAAGAACGUCGCGAACAAACUGACGACGUUCGUUUUCAUUUCCUUCUGCUACAAGGCGACCAACAUUUGGCCCACGAGAGAGGACGCACAGAGUAUUGAUAGCAUCAACAAGGUGGACGUUGUAUCUGAAUGUGCAAACGUUUUACCGCGCAGAGUCAUAUUUGUACUAUUGAAGAUUGAUGGAAUGGAACCAAACUCAGGGCCAGGAAGUUCAGGUUCCGAUGGUACGACAGUCAGGGGCGAUAUUACACGCAACAAUGCGUAUCGGACAUUCCAGUCGCGUAUGGAUACAUUUGGCAACUGGCCUUUAUACUUAGUUCAGAGGCCAGGGCAAAUGGCAGAGGCAGGAUGGUUUUACAUGGGUAUUGACGACAACACUCGUUGCUUUGCAUGUGGCUGUACCUUGAUGAAUUGGGAACCAGAAGACGAUCCCUGGAAGGAACACUGUCGCUGGAGUCCGCAUUUUCCACAUGUUCGAGAGGUUAAAGGCGAUCACUUUAUGAACCAAAACCAACCGAUGCCAAAUCAUCCUGCUGCUGGCACUAGGUUGAACCAGGUUGAGUUUGAAGAUAUGGUUGUCGAAUGGCCUAUUUCCAACCCUAACACACGUACACAAUCCGAUGUGGAGGAGCCUCAAAAUACGAAUGUCAACAACAUCAAUUUUCCAGCAGAAGGUGUCCAGAAUCAUGAGCUUGUACAACAAGGUAGUUGUUAUAUAUAAUCCCUUUUUAAACGGUUAACACAUUUAUUUUAAGUAUACACAAUGGAAUUGCUCGAUAAAGGUAAAGCACAGUCAAAUUGCUUACUAUAUCUUAGGGCUUAAACUCGCUACUAAAUGUUAUGACACAAACGAAGCAUACAUUUUUGACAAACUGCAAUAUGCGGUAAAAGGACAAGGGGCCGUAUCCACGAAGAUCCUUAGGUAUUUUCUUAUUUUUUUUACUUAAAUUCAAUAAAUCACCUAAGGCAAGAGUUUCCCAUAAAUAUUUAUCCUAAAAAUUCCUUAGGAAAAAGAUUAGGUAAGUUUUUGUCUCGUGCAUUUGUUUCCUUCAAUGAAACAUAAUUCGCUUAAGGAGUGUCUUAAGUUUGUUGUUAAUGACAUCCCCGGGUUCCCUGACAUAAAAAUAGCAUCACGAUGACGUCGUCAUUAUAACAUACCACGAGAUUUAUCGGCGCACAAAAAUGGCGGUUGUCUUUGUCUAAAGAGAAUCGGUCGAAUUUCCGUAGCGUGUCACAAGGAGUUUUUAUGGAAUAUAUAAAGGGAGUAACUUUUAUUACAUGCAUACAAUGCUUGUGAAUUUAAGCAGCGUUAAAUGCCAUGUUUUAUUUGUAAUUCCCACUGUCGGCGUUUGGGUUUUUGGUGGAUCUUAAAAUAGCACUGAAGCGAAAUCGGAUGUUUAUAGCAGACUGCAGUUUGUCAAAACUGUCAAAAUGGAAGAAUAAAGGAAACGCAAUCCAAACUUUUCGCUACAAGAUUCCUUGCUUCUUACGCAAAUAAUGGGAGAGACGCAUCCCGACUUCAAAGAUAUUAACAUGUCUUUCCACAAGGUGGGUAAGGCUAGAUUCAGCAAUCGUACGAAUCAAAAUAUUGUUAUCAAGCUUUAGACACCAACCAGAGAAUCAUUUGCAUGACACUAAGUCUUCGAAAUUAGCUUUAAAUAGUUAUUUGCCAGGCUGGCCGGCUACUGGAGAAUUCACUACUUGUCUUAAAAUAGUUUUAUAUGUCCAAUUUUUUUCUCACAACAAAAGAAAAAUAAUUGUUUUCACACAUAUUCCUAUAACACUUAUUUAAGCUCUUUACUUAUUGGAAAAUCAGUGUUUCAACACACUAUUAGGUUGAAUAAUAAACUCUGCAAUUAAGAAGGAUCAGUUUCCAUUUGAACUUUUUUUGUCAUCUUACUAAAUAACCAGUUCAUGAUUUGAUGGGCAUUCAACGUGAAAUGUAGUAUUGGCCCAACAGUUUUUUAUAUGCUAUGGGCAUUCAACGUGAAAUUUAUUAUUGGCCCAACAGUUUUUUAUAUGCUAUGGGCAUUCAGGCAUGUGUUAUUUUUUCUGACUGUGAAAUGUCAGUGAGCAGAACGGUAAUAAUAUGCGAAUAUAGCCAUUGCAAUGCAUUAUUCACAAACUUUAAAUGAACAAUAAAAUAAAAAGAACAAAAAAAUAAUGUUUGAUUAAAAUAAGUGCAUAUUAUUGAAAAACGUGAGUUGCUAUAUGUUACAAUGAGUAAUAUGAAUCAAACCAUUGUUAAUCAAUAUAUUUCACAAACUACAGUAACUUGAGCAUUAUUCAUUUCAUGUACAUGUAAGUAAAUAAAGAAUAUAUGUAUGAUAUCAGGAAUCAGCAAAGCAACCAAGAAUAUACUUUGGGUGUCAGUUGCAGAAAAUUUCAAUGCCAGAGCCCAGCUCAGAAGGGAGCAAUCCAUUUUGGAGAAAAAAAUGGAAGAAUCUUCAAAGAGAUCACAGAAAUCUAUAUAUGGAUUAUCAAAGAGAUGCUCUUUGACAUGUACCUAAGAUAUUAAACUAAUUGUGUACCAUUUCAAUCAAUUGUCGGAAUGAAAUUUGUUGUUUUAUAUAUUGAGGAUAUUUGUUGGAUUCGGGGGAUUAUCGAUUUCAAUUCACGAGUGAUCAUAGAAAAUAAUAUUUUCACGAGUGUCGUAGCCACGAGUGAAAAUAUAUAUUUUCUAUGAUCACGAGUGAAUUAAAAUCGAUAUUUCACCGAAUCCAGCACAUUUUGUUUUUAAUUUAAUAUUUUUUUCACAGUUUAUAUACAUUGUAAAAGAUUUUAACUAAAGAAUGUCGUUGGAAUAAUGACGUCAUUUCGUCAAAAAAUGACGUCAUGUCACAAAAAACAGUGAAAAUUAUCGAUACUUUUCACUGAUAAUUUUCAUUGUUUGAAACAGUAAAAUUAUCAGUUUUAAUUCACUGAUAUUUCUCUAUAAACCACCGGAAAGCAUUAAAUAAAAAAAUAUAAUUUUGAAAAUUGACAUUUUUACAGGUAACAGGAAUAAAUUGUAAUUUUCUCAUGUAAGAAAUAGUUUUAAGCUAUUUUAAGUGUUCAUAUGCACAAAUAGACUGAUGAAAUAAAUUUAAUCUCACAGACCUGUUAAUAGCAUGAAAUUAUUUCAUUUCACCUGAUAAAGGUGUUUUAUAUAUAUAUAUAUAUAAGAAUGCAUUAAGGAAUAAAAUAGGUGUUUGUUUCCAUUAACAUCGCCAAAACAAUUAGGUAGGUAGGUCGCCGUAACUUUUAUAACUUUAAUCUUUACACGUUAUAUUACACUUUAAAAUGGUAAUUUCAAUGACCAAAGUCUUCCAAAUGUAUAUACCACAUUGCUUCUACAUAAUUAUGAGAUGCAACUAUCUUUAUUUUGAUAAAACAUUGCAGUCUAAAGAUUUUAAUAAUAACAUUAAACUAAUGUUUAAUGUAAACUUGACUUUUUCAAAUCGCAAAAAAGUUUAGUCGGCAGGGGUUAGUAGAAACAGCGACCUUUUUAAGGCCUAAUGUAUAACCAAAUAUGCUGAAAUAUAUUAAAUAGGGCGAUGUCCGAUAGGCUGAACAUUGUCUGUCCUCACAGAGGCAGUUAUUGAUGUGAUUGGGAGGCAGCGUGCGGCAGUUGUUGGGGCAGCAGGAGCAGCAUAUGACUCAACACUGGCCUCACUUAUGCAUUAAGAUUCAUAAAAAAGUAUAAUUCAAAAUAAGUUACUUCCCUAACUUUAUAGACUCAAUAUAUGGAUCAAUAUGGAAGAGGAAAAAUUCUGAAUAUACUGAUGAUUAUUUUUGAUUCAGUGUCAGAACAUGUUAUGUUGCAUGUAUGAAUGGUCAAGUUUAAAUUGACCAUUCAGACAUUGAAGCUACUUGGGAAGAUCUACUCCUGCCGAAGACCAAACCUAUUUUAUGUGGCGUCAUACAGUCGAACUUUUACACACUUCUGUACAGUGUUUUUUCAUCAACGUCUACAACCAUAGCUGAACACAAAACUGUAAUAUUGGGUUACUUUAACACUGAUGUUUGUGCCAAAAGCAGUGCUCUGCUGUCAGCUUUGAAUGUAUUUACUGACAUGUUUCAUUUUAAACAACUUAUAUGUGACUUUACUAGGGCCUGUAACACUGCAGCUACCACCAUUCAUCUUAUUUUAGUGUAUGAUAAGGAAAAGAUUUCUCAAUCUGGUGUUGUUGAUACGUGUAUUAGUGAUCAUUCUUUAAUUUAUUGUACCAGAAAAGUUCAUAAAUAAUUUAUUAACAAACAUAAUACUGUAACCAUUCGUUCUUUUAAAAAAAUAUAACAAGGAUGAUCUACAAGCUAACCUUUUAGCUACUGACUGGAGUUCUGUUAUGUUAUCUGAUAAUAUGUCUGAGGCUUGUCUCAAUUUUAAACACUUAUUGUUGUCUGUUGUUAAUAAUAUUACUCCUGUUAAAGAAGUACGGAUUAAGAAUAGAACUGAACACAUGAUUAAAGUGAUAUUAUGGACAUCUAACAGUUUAUAUGUGUCUAUCGCAACCGUUGUGUAUUUUUUGUGUUUUCACUUCAUAUACACUUAUAGUUGUUAAUGCAGCAUCAACAUACUAAAACAAUAUCACGGAAAGAGAAAAAUAAUGCAUUUGAAUAUCAAUCGUACUUUCGUUUGACAACUGAUGAUGCAUGUACGAUGUGAUACUAAAUUUAGUGUUAGUGCAGAUUCGUUCAUACGACAUAAAGACACAAUUUUGUUUUACCGAUCAUUUCGGCUUACGGGACUCACCAGUCACGUAAAAAAUCGAAUAUAAAAUAUAUUUUUACAAACAACUGGUAGCAAGAUGAGUUGCAGAUAAUUGGUCAGUAACCACAUUUUAACUAACUCUUUUGAGCAGUUAAUUCUUUUCAGCUCAAUUCAACAGUGAACAAAUGCCAAUACUGUCACUUUAGUUUAGAUAUUCUUGAAUCAAUAAAGCAACGUAAUACUGCUUUUAAUGUGUACAAGAGAAAAAUAAAACUGUAGAUCAUUUUAAUACUUUCAGUCAAUUGAGGAAUAAGGUACAGUCUCUUGUUGACAUAUCCAAGAAGAGAUUCUUUACUCAGUCUCUUGAGCAAAAAAAAAACGAUUCUAAGUCUCUGUGGAAGAUGUUAAAAAAUAUUGGUUUACUUUCCAAAAAAGUUCAUCAAGAUCAAACAUUGGUCAAAAGGUUGACAAUGAAAUAUGUUUUUGAUAAGAAGUCUGUAGCUGAAACUUUUAAUUGUUUAAUACAAGUGUAGCAUCAAAACUUGUUGACAAAUUGACCCAAAAUAGUAUAUGUAAAUUUGGAUCGGAUUUUGUUACAUCAUUUUAUGCCAAAAAAGGUGUAGUACCAAACAGCUUUUCCUUUUCUCUUGUUUCUGAGAACACAGUGUUAAAGUAUAUUUUACGGUUAGGAGUAAACAAAUCAACAGGUCUUGAUGGUAUUCCCUCUUGGUUUAUAAAAGAUGGUGCCCCAAUAAUUGACAGUCCCUUAGCCCAUAUCAUUAAUUUAUCCCUUAUCCAAGGCACUGUUCCUGAUGAUAUGACAUCUGCCAGAGUUGUCCCCCUUUUAAAGAAAGAUGAUAAAGCUGAUGUUGGUAACUAUAGACCAGUAUCUAUCCCCCUGUAGUAUAUACAAAUUUUUGAAAGAGUUGUCUAUGACCAGGUUAAGUCAUAUCUCAAAAGUAAUAAACUGCUCUUUAAAUUCCAAUCAGGUUUUAGAUGUGGGGUUUCCACGGACACUUGUUUAAUUCACUUGACAGAUUUCAUCCGUCUAGAAAUGGUAAAAGGUAAUCUAGUGGGUAGGAUUCUGUUAGAUCUACAAAAACCUUUUGACACUGUAGAUCACUCUAUCCUUAUCAUGAAACUUAAAGCCCUGGGUCUGGGGGAUGACAUUUUGAGUUGUCUUUCAUCGUACUUAUCUGAUAUACAACAACUUGUUGAUGUAUCAGGUACUUAAUCUACUAUGGCCAACAUUACAUGUGGGAUGCCUCAAGGUUCUAUUCUCAGCCCUCUCCUUUUCUAGAUCUGUGUCAAUGAUUUGUCGUCAGCAAUAAAGAAUAAACUUUUACUGUAUGCGGAUGAUUCUUGCAUUUUAGUUUCUGGUCAAAACAACUAUCAAAUAGAGCAAGCCUUUUCUCAGGAUCUUAAUGAAGUGAGCCAAUGAUUAAUUGACAACAAGUUAUCUCUUCACCUUGGUAAACCUGUAUCAAUUCUCUUUGGUACCAAACAUAAGCUAAUGUGAAAUCCUAAGUCAAAUAUAAUAUGUUAUGACACAUUUAUAGAACCUACAACUGCAGUCAAGUAUCUUGGGGCCAGUAUUGACCAGAAUUUAUAAUUGGUCAAUAUGGCUCAGUCUGUUGUAAAGAAAUUUAACUAUAGGUUAAAGUUUUUAAUCCUUAAUCCAGUGUCAUUUUGAAUAUAUGGUACAAUGGUCUUACACAGUUUUGGAAGAAUAAACUUCAGGUAACCCAAAAUAGUUUGAUCCGUUUUGUGCUCAAUCUUUAUUCUAGAACUCAUAUUAGCCCGGAACAUUAUACUUCUUUGUUAUGGUUGCCAGUUGACAAACGUGUCCAGCAAAUAAUGCUCUCCCAUGUUUUUAAGAUCAAAAAUGGUCUAUCUCCUGCUUACUUGUAAGACCAGUUUAUUCCCCAGAAAUAUGUCCAUUCCCAUUAUACCAGAUAAAGUAAUAAAGGGGCUUUCUCUUUACCAAAGGUCAAAGGAAAUGGGAAGAAGUCCUUCACUUACUUGGGUUGCAAAUUGUGGAAUAAACUACCAUCUUUAAGAACCCAGAUGACAGUAUUGUCCAGUUUUAAGUCUGCAAUAAAACAACAUAUUUUUAAAAGAGUAGUUUAAUCUGUCUUAAGUUGCUAUGCAAUGCUGAUAAUUUUUUACAUUUUCCUUUACCCAAUGUCUUAUCAUUUCGGAUUAAUAAUAUAUGCAUACUAAAUGUGACUUUGUAAUUAUUGCUUGUUGUAGAAACCUUUACAUUUUUAAUCCAUUCAAAUUUAAUAUUUGAUAAGACGAUCAUAAUUGAUACAUUUGUGUUCAUUGAUCUGAAUCUUAGUAUUAUAUUUCAUGUAUUUAUUAUUAUUAACACAGUAUUUAGUAUUAAUUAAUUACUUGUGCCUCUCUAUGUCGUGCCACCAAUAAAAAGGACCACAAUGAAAAUAAGGGAUAUUGUUUUUUUGUGUAAUCUUUGGCGUAAGUGUGCAUGCCAUAGUGCAUUCUAUGCAUGUACUUUACAAUUAUGAUUUUUUACUUCAUAUUGUUAUAUGUACAUGAUGUUUCAAUGCAUUGUGUGUAUGUUUGCUAUCUCCGAAAUAAAUCGAUCUAUCAACGAAUAUUAUUAAAGUUUGCUUAAUGUAUAAAAACACUUAAUUUAUUCGAACUCAAUUAACGCUUUAACACUUAUUCCCAGGACAUUUCGAAAAUCAAGCAUCGCCAACAACUGAUAACAUAAGAAUCGUAAUCAGGCUAUCGUCGGACCCAUGCCUGACCCGCAUAAUUUAUUGGUCACGCAAUAUUAAAAUUAAAAACAUAAACUUCGGGGAUUCGAUAAUUAGAAUAUAUCUGAGCAUUUAACCAAGCAUUAUUCAUAUUCUUUAUUGUUUACUUAACAUUGUUCAAGACUUGUUUCUAAUUUCUAAAUAAUGAUCUUGUUAGCGUCGAUUUUGGUUCGUUGGCAUUUUAUUAGUGUAUCAAGGAGACUUUCACUAUACAUUUUACAAUUACCAGUCUAUGGAAUAUACGAGGAUACUGUGGUAAGUUUGUGUCUUUUCAGACAACAAUGAUACAGAAACAGUUGACGCUUGUAUGCAUGACGUGCUGGAGAGACCUAAUGUAGUUUUCCCCGAGCUAGUCCAACGAGGUGCCGCUUAAUAUCGAUACUAACCAGUUUCUAGAGGAUAUCCCAUCCUUCGUUGAAGCAUACUCAUGUGGGUCUUUUGUGCCAGAAAUACAGGUGAACACAUGCGAAUCUACGCUCCUCACAUGCCAAGUAUUGCUUGGAUUGAACGCAAGACAGCGAUACAUGCCCAGGUUCUUGCAGACCGAUAAUGGAAUUGAUUCUCACACAUUAAGGAUGGACAAACAGAUGAUGCAAUAAGCAUGUUAUGUGCAGCAGAAUAUAUAAGAUUAUUCUGGCUGAAUAAGCUCUAUAUAGCUAGACAGAAACGCAUAAACCAACAAGUAAAAUAUUGACAUAUGUGUUUGCUCGCGAUACAUUAACUAAAGCAUCAGGUAUAAGAAUGAAUUGCAUCUCUGUGCAUAUGACGGCAUUUUUGAUACAGUGUUUACGUUCAUUUCAUAUUUGUCUUUAUGAUAUCAAAUAAGCCGGUUGUACAAAAGCUGAUUUUGGUAUAGCCACAUGUUUACCUCCGUAACAGAAACGAUCUCUUCCAUAAAAUCAUCGUUCGCAAAAUGUUCAAGUUAGGUGUACGGGUAUAGAUUCAGGAAACGUCCGCUCCUUUGGCGACGAUUGAUCUUUUAUUUCCCGUUGGGAUGUGCCAAUAUUCAAAUUCGCGUCUUUCUAAAGCUCACUCACCAAAGACAUUCAACACAUCCAGUUGAUUUCUUUUAUGUAUGGGAAUUGUACUAAAAACUAUUGAAAUUGACGAGUGUCUAAUUAUGAAUUUAAUAGCCUCUGAACACACGAUAGUGUGUAAUGAGUAUUUACUUAAACUCUUAGGAGCCAAAUAAAUAUACUUGCCAAAUGUAUGCUUCCACAUCUGUUACUGAUUUUGAAAUUACCAAACGAUAUAAGCCAAUAAUUGCCAGUGGACAUCACGUGUAAAGCGAUUCAAAUAUUUUAAACGAAAGCGCACGUGCGUUUUGUAUGUGCUUUUGUAAUUAGCAUAUAUAUAUAUGUGGGGUGUGUGUGUGUAUGUGUCUCUUAACAAUCUGCAUUCUUUGACCAGGUAUCUCAACAAGGGAAACCUGCCUGUUGGAUCUAUAUCGUUAUGCUUAUAAUCUUGAUAUAGUAAAUGGCAUUGAAGAGCUGCUUACAAUUACAUGACGUUAUUCAUUGGUUACACAUGACUUUCCCAUGUUAAAUUUAAUAUAACCAUUCCUGCAUAAUUUUGAAUAGUCCAUAUCGUUGGAAUGUUAUAUAUACCGAUAGGACUAUACUUGUUUUAUCAUGACGCUAUUUAUUGAUUACACAUGACUUUUCCAUGUUAAAUUGCCAUACAACCAUCCCUGCAUAAUUUUAAAUAUACUAUAUCGUUGGAAUGUAAUAUAUCCAGAUAGGGCUAUACUUGAUUUAACAUGACGCCAUUUAUUGGUUACACAUGACUUUCCGAUGUUAAAUUUCCAUAUAACCAUCCCGGAAUAAUUUUGAAUAUACCAUAUCGUUGGAAUGUAAUAUAUCCUGAUAGGGCUGUACUUGUUAAUGUAUGAUGCAAAGAAUAUACACAAUCAAUGUUGGUGAGCGGUUUAUUUUCAUACAACAUUUGCACGUUCCACUUGUGUUGUUACUUUAAGUACAUAAUGUGUGUUCAGUAUGGUAACAUAAAUAUCAUAGAGAUCUUUCGGGGUAUAUUCGAUAUUGGUCCCUCGAAGAGUAAUGUCAAUCUCGUCCCUUGGCUUUGGUUGAAAUUACUCUACUCGGGUGCUUUAUUUGCUUUACCCCUCAAUUGUCUAUGACAUUUAUAUAUCUUAUACUACAAGCGUCUGAUGCAUAUACUUUGCUUCACAAAUACAUGAAUAGAAUCUUGAUUUCUGAUUGUUAUGAGAUUACAUCGGAUAGUGUAACUUGUUACACCUCUGCUACACAGAGCUGUUACAUUAAAAAAAUCAAAGAGUACAGAAUGCCACUAUUUUACAAUACAACCAUUUUUGUAAUUAGUACGGUGUAUACGUCGGUUUCCCAUUUUGUGUUUUUCAUUUUAUGUUUCUUUAUUUUAAAGUUUUUAAUUUGUAUACACGAUUGGUGAAAGAAAUACGCAAUAUGUUACUGUUAACACAUACUCCAUAUAACUUUAAACAAUGCAUUGUAUUAUUUAUAAUCAUGCUGAUAUAUAUGUAUAUUCGGCGUGUUAGCGUUAUUUUAUUUUUUAAAUAUCCUCAUUUCUUGGUGGAUUCAUAUUACAUUAAUGUGAACAAUAAUAUGUGUAACUUGUAUUAUACCAUUUUAAAGAGUAGCAUAGCGUCAUGCGUUUAAUUCUACUGGAUAUGUGCUGUCUUUUAAUGCUCAAUAUCAAUACAGUAUGCGAUGAGUGGUAAUUGACCGAUGUUUUUACAUCUGUACUGAAUAUUGGAUUGUUUUGUUUGACUGUGUUUAAAUGUAGCUUUUAAAACUGCAUUUCAAGUUAAUUUUACGGAGUUUAUAAAACAAAAAGUGAUAGUGCAGAAGAAAAUAUAUAUAUUUUAUUCAUGCCUAAAUAGUUUUGUUAUCCUAUUGUUGUUCCUUUGACUGAGAUUGUUGUUUAGGUUGUUAUAUUUACCACUGUUUUUCAAGUUGGAUCGCAUACUAUCUUUGUAUAAUUAAUGUCAUGUUUUUUGGUGUUUUUUGUAUCGCAAAUAUUUUGUUUUUACCUGAAUUGUAUGUGUUAUGUACCACUCAUUUAUUGUUGUUAAUUGCAUAUUGCAUACAGUGAUAAAAUGCGGACUUGUUUGAUUGUUUACCAUUUUUACACAUUUUUGCCAUGAAUUAUACUUAAACACCUGUAUCAAUCAAGAUUUAAAGAAAUCUUUUUUUGAAUCUUAUCUUAAAGCUAACAAAUAUCCGAUCAUAUCCAAUAAAUAAAAUAAUCGCAACCACUUUAACUUAGUAAGCCUUACGACUUUAUAUUGUUUCGUUUUGGAUAAACAGUAUGAACAAGGAGUUAAUAUACUACAGUUGAAGUGGUUGCGAUUAUUUUAUUUAUUGGAUAUGAUCGGACAUUUGUUAGCUUUAAGACUGCCUAUUGUAUUGAAAAGGAAGUCUAUAAUAGGACAUAAACAAACACAUGUGAUUGCUAUAAAGACUAGUAUGAUCCAUUAACUGUUACUUGUCGUACAUGCAACGUUAUACAAAUCUUAGAAAUAUUACUCAUUACCAUGGUAAAGAAUUAAUUUUUCUUAUUUUCGUAAAACCUCUUUGAAAUAAAAGAUAAUUUAACAAAAUAUACAUAUAAGAUUGCAUUGAACACUCUGUAAAACAUCAAAUACCCAUUGAUAUCCUGUCAUUAAAAUUAUAAAAUUACAGUUAUUCAAUUUGUUUGUCAAUAGUAAAUUCAGAAAUUGAGAGUCUAUGUUGUUUUGGUUAAUCUUCUACAAUUAUCUCUGCAAUUAUUUAUUCAAUAUAUGCAAACAUGCAAACAAUGGCCAAGCUCCUUACAUAAAUUUGAUUAACGCAUGUGAUGUUUCUAAGAAAAUAUGGUAUUUAUGCAUUAAUUUAUUAUAUGUUUUCUAUUUUUUAUAUUUAAUAAUAUACUGUUGUCUGUUGAUACAAAUGUCAUUUUCUGAUGUUCAUAUUAAAAAAGUCAGAUACGC